AACGCUAGCUACAGGCUUAACACAUGCAAGUCGAGGGGAAACGACAUCGAAAGCUUGCUUUUGAUGGGCGUCGACCGGCGCACGGGUGAGUAACGCGUAUCCAACCUGCCCACCACUUGGGGAUAACCUUGCGAAAGUAAGACUAAUACCCAAUGACGUCUCUAGAAGACAUCUGAAAGAGAUUAAAGAUUUAUCGGUGAUGGAUGGGGAUGCGUCUGAUUAGCUUGUUGGCGGGGUAACGGCCCACCAAGGCGACGAUCAGUAGGGGUUCUGAGAGGAAGGUCCCCCACAUUGGAACUGAGACACGGUCCAAACUCCUACGGGAGGCAGCAGUGAGGAAUAUUGGUCAAUGGGCGAGAGCCUGAACCAGCCAAGUAGCGUGCAGGAUGACGGCCCUAUGGGUUGUAAACUGCUUUUAUAAGGGAAUAAAGUGAGUCUCGUGAGACUUUUUGCAUGUACCUUAUGAAUAAGGACCGGCUAAUUCCGUGCCAGCAGCCGCGGUAAUACGGAAGGUCCGGGCGUUAUCCGGAUUUAUUGGGUUUAAAGGGAGCGUAGGCCGGAGAUUAAGCGUGUUGUGAAAUGUAGAUGCUCAACAUCUGAACUGCAGCGCGAACUGGUUUCCUUGAGUACGCACAAAGUGGGCGGAAUUCGUGGUGUAGCGGUGAAAUGCUUAGAUAUCACGAAGAACUCCGAUUG
Molecule: ribosomal RNA, 696 nt
Filed under: uncultured bacterium
Lineage: Bacteria
Description: bacterial SSU rRNA
Rfam family: Bacterial small subunit ribosomal RNA
Source: RNAcentral